AGGAGAGUUUGAUCCUGGCUCAGGAUGAACGCUGGCGGCGUGCCUAAUACAUGCAAGUCGAGCGAGAAUCAAGUGAACGGAGAUUCGUCAAGGUGAUCUUGAGGAAAGCGGCGGACGGGUGAGUAACGCGUAGGCAACCUGCCCUUAGCAGAGGGAUAGCCAUUGGAAACGAUGAUUAAAACCUCAUAAUGCUGAAGAGUCACAUGUCUUUUCAGCCAAAGAUUUAUCGGCUAAGGAUGGGCCUGCGUCUGAUUAACUAGUUGGUGAGGUAACGGCCCACCAAGGUGACGAUCAGUAGCCGACCUGAGAGGGUGAUCGGCCACAUUGGAACUGAGACACGGUCCAAACUUCUACGGAAGGCAGCAGUAAGGAAUCUUGCACAAUGGGGGAAACCCUGAUGCAGCAACGCCGCGUGAACGAUGAAGGCCUUAGGGUUGUAAAGUUCUGAUCUGUGGGAAGAAGAAAGUGACGGUACCACAGGAGAAAGCCCCGGCUAAAUACGUGCCAGCAGCCGCGGUAAUACGUAUGGGGCAAGCGUUAUCCGGAAUUAUUGGGCGUAAAGAGUGCGUAGGUGGUUACCUAAGCGCAAGGUUUAAUCUUGAGGCUCAACCUCAUUCUGCCUUGCGAACUGGGCUACUUGAGUGCUGGAGGGGAAAGCGGAAUUCCCAGUGUAGCGGUGAAAUGCGUAGAUAUUGGGAAGAACACCGGUGGCGAAGGCGGCUUUCUGGACAGUAACUGACACUGAGGCACGAAAGCGUGGGGAGCAAACAGGAUUAGAUACCCUGGUAGUCCCCU
Molecule: ribosomal RNA, 795 nt
Filed under: uncultured Bacillota bacterium
Lineage: Bacteria; Bacillati; Bacillota
Description: bacterial SSU rRNA
Rfam family: Bacterial small subunit ribosomal RNA
Source: RNAcentral